CCUGGGAAAAACUAGAUGAUCCCCAGUCUUGAAAGCUGGAACUGAAAGAUGACCCAGACAUGCAAAUGGAGAUUGAGAAUUAACUUGAUGGAGAAAAUGUGGCCAAAAUGAAGAAAUAAUUGCCCAAGUAAAGAGCCAGGAUGUGGAGACUUAAUAGUCUUAGAAUGACUCAGUAAGCAAGCUGAAGCUAAAUCACUUCUUUUGGUCAAGUUAAUUAUCAAUCACAGGUAUGGCUGAGUAGGGGGGGGGGGGUGGAACUUGCUCUGGGAAUUACAAACUCUAUUGAUGUAUCAAGACACAUUUCUUUCACAAGAGUUAGAUUCUGGCAUGAGACAUUUUAAGGAUUUCUCCCAGGGCGUGGUGGAGUGAUUGGAAUAAUGGGGCCUGAAGGAAUAUAAAAUUUUGGUCCAGACUUGAGGGGAGUUUCUGUUUGGUCCAUGAGACUGACUGAUGUUUGCAUAACAGCUGAGAUUUGAAUCUGGAUCCUCUGGUUAUAGAUCUCAUGUCUCUUCUGCUAUACCAUGGGGCUUGGAGCAGAUCAGCUUUAGGAUCCCAUCCAACUCAAAUAUUCUGUGAUUCUAGACUGAAUAUCCUUCAACUAUUCCUCAUAUGGGCAUGGUCUCUGCUCUCCCACAAUCCUCAUGACCCAAUAUACUUCCUAAAAUGUGGCACCAAGAACUGAAAACAAUGCACCAGAUAUGGCCUGACUAGACCAGUGAACAGGGGAACCGUCACCUCUCAUUCUGAAUAUUCAACCUCCUAGAAUUUCAGGUAGCUGCUCCCAGAUUCUUCUGGGAAUAUCUGAUAUGAUCACUUACUAUAUGGUAUUUACAGAUAAAAAUGCUUAAUGAAAUGCCCCAUAGAGUACAUAUUUACCUUAACAUUCCUUAGUCUGAAAUAUGUUUUAAUUAUG
Molecule: long non-coding RNA, 913 nt
Filed under: Monodelphis domestica (gray short-tailed opossum)
Lineage: Eukaryota; Metazoa; Chordata; Mammalia; Didelphimorphia; Didelphidae
Description: lncRNA (ENSMODG00000049513.1)
Source: RNAcentral